AUUCCCCUCACUCUCUCCCUGGUUCUUUUUUUUCUGACUGUACCCUCUAUCCCUGGUCAGACCUAGGGCAAGGGAAUCGGCCCGGUCUCCAGUCCAGCCCUGGGAGAAGCCAGCAUGAGAUGUGACUCCUUCAUACACCAACCCUGGGUGAAGCCUGCCGCCCCUCAGCAGCCUCCCCUGUCUCUAGAAGCUGGCUCACCUCUUCAGCAAACCCAUGACAAUGAGACUAGCCACCACAUUUAUGAACCUACUGUGUGCUGGGUAUUGUGUCUUUUCCAGCUCCGGAGUCUACUUCCUUUUUCAUCUAAGGAAACACGUAUCAGAUCUGGAACAUAGGACAGCUUGGAUGUAAUGGCAGCCGGAUGGUACCGUGAAAGCAAAAAAAUAAAAGUCAAGAUAGAAACUAUUAUCCCAGAAUGGCAUGCUGAAGAGGCACUGGCAACGAUAAGGACACAGCUCUUCUGCCAGGACCAAAUUUCCAACUACCCCUGCAGGAUCUGCUGGCCUUCGUUGGAAACAAAUAAACAAACAUAAGCCAACUCGCCCUCAUUUGUUUCCAUCAGCUCAAUAAAAU
Leopardus geoffroyi (Geoffroy's cat) is the source of this 574-nucleotide long non-coding RNA. RefSeq lists it as uncharacterized. The transcript has 3 exons. Lineage: Eukaryota; Metazoa; Chordata; Mammalia; Carnivora; Felidae. The record is from RefSeq and is a predicted model, not a curated record.